This 266-nucleotide ribosomal RNA is filed under the name uncultured bacterium. RNAcentral's name for it is "partial 16S ribosomal RNA". It matches the Rfam family "Bacterial small subunit ribosomal RNA", at positions 92 to 354 of the family's 1533-position model. The record is from RNAcentral.
CGACCGGCGCACGGGUGAGUAACGCGUAUGCAACCUGCCCGUUUCAGCGGGAUAACCCGGAGAAAUCCGGCCUAAUACCGCAUGUGGCCGAGGGGAGGCAUCUUCUUUCGGCCAAAGGAGGCGACUCCGGAGGCGGAUGGGCAUGCGUGACAUUAGCUUGUUGGCGGGGUAACGGCCCACCAAGGCGACGAUGUCUAGGGGUUCUGAGAGGAAGGUCCCCCACACUGGUACUGAGACACGGACCAGACUCCUACGGAAGGCAGCAG